This 337-nucleotide ribosomal RNA is filed under the name uncultured bacterium. RNAcentral describes it as "bacterial SSU rRNA". It matches the Rfam family "Bacterial small subunit ribosomal RNA", at positions 8 to 334 of the family's 1533-position model. The record is from RNAcentral.
AGGGUUUGAUUAUGGCUCAGGAUGAACGCUGGCUACAGGCUUAACACAUGCAAGUCGAGGGGAAACGAUAUUGAAAGCUUGCUUUCGAUAGGCGUCGACCGGCGCACGGGUGAGUAACGCGUAUCCAACCUGCCCAUAACUAAGGGAUAAUCCGUAGAAAUGCGGUCUAAUACCUUAUGUGAUCCGAGGAAGACAUCUGAUUUGGAUUAAAGAUUUAUCGGUUAUGGAUGGGGAUGCGUCUGAUUAGAUUGUUGGCGGGGCAACGGCCCACCAAGUCUGCGAUCAGUAGGGGUUCUGAGAGGAAGGUCCCCCACAUUGGAACUGAGACACGGUCCAA